AAUCUGUGAGGUUUUUUUUUUUAGGACAAGCUCAUGAAUUGCCUAGAGACCCNCAGAGAGAAGAGGGAAGAAGUGCUAUCAUACAAGGUCAACACAGAGAAGGAAAGUCAAGACCUGCUGGAGCAAGUAAAGGCAGAGAGAGAAAAGACAGUGAGGACAUUCAGACAACUACACCAGUUUCUAAAAGAACAGGAAAAACUAUUGCUGGCUCAGAUGGAAGAAGUCAUGGAAGAGAUCAAAAGAGAAAGGGAAAACCACCUAGACAACCUUGAGAAGGAACGUCAGUCUUUGGAAAGUAUCAUCCAGGAGAUGGAGGAGAAACUUCAACAACCAGCAGUUGAUCUCCUGCAGGUAAGUCCCAGCCACGGGAUGACACUUGCAUGUAACACUUCCAUCUU
This 398-nucleotide long non-coding RNA is filed under the name Salvator merianae (Argentine black and white tegu). Its description in RNAcentral is "lncRNA (ENSSMRG00000016669.1)". Lineage: Eukaryota; Metazoa; Chordata; Lepidosauria; Squamata; Teiidae. The record is from RNAcentral.